UGACCUUAUUUUUUACUUUUUUUUUGAGUCUGUGCAUGUAUCUUACAAAUGGAUACAUCCACCUAUAGUGCACUGGUCUCCCCACUUUAACUUUAUAUAUGCCGGAUAAAUCAUGAGAUGCUCCAUUGAGUCAAAGAAACUAGGAGAAAAUAUCUUCUCCAAUUUGCAUAUAGCCUCUAUAAUACUAGCCUUAAGAUUAGAAAUAUGGUCGGCGGAU
This 217-nucleotide long non-coding RNA is filed under the name Elaeis guineensis (African oil palm). RNAcentral describes it as "long non-coding RNA (EGUI_LNC013092)". Lineage: Eukaryota; Viridiplantae; Streptophyta; Magnoliopsida; Arecales; Arecaceae. The record is from RNAcentral.